AGAAGCAGAAAGGUAAGUGAUGAUAGAACUGCUUCCGCAUUUGACUGGAUUACAAAACAGACAGGGCUAAAUGUUGGAAAGGUACUUUCAAAUGUGAAUGAGUACGGGAAAUCUUCAGGUAUUUGGCCAAGGAAUGCAGUGUGGGAUUCUGCCAAGUUUAUCCCUCCUGCAUAUAAUGCGUUUUAUGUUCCAAAAUAACAAAGUGACUUUUGAUAUUUAAGAGUAAUUUUAAAAAACUUCUUACUUUUUCCAAUUUUUCUGAAAACAUAUGUCACCCCCCACACACACACCCAAAAAAAAGCCAGAACAAAAACUUUCCCCCCUGUGGCAUCAAAAUUUCCAGAAAUUUUACAUCUCUAGCAUCUACAUAUGUGAAUCUAGCAUCUACAUGUGUGUGAAUCUGGAGAACAUUAAUAAUUCUAAAUAUAAGAUUUAGAAAUUAGUUUUUAACUAAGUUCUUAGUUUUUAACAAAGCAUUAGGGGCCAACUUUUUAUUGUUGAAUCUUACUUAAUUGGAAGGUUGGUCACAUUUGGCAUUAUACAAAGUAUACUGAGUUGCCAGAAUCGCAUGCCUACUCAGAAGUAAGUUUCAUUGAGUUCAAAGGGACUUAUUCCCAGGUAAGUACAGUAUAGGAUUGCAGCCUACAUUGUUUCUUAAGGUCAGAACAGAACAAGAACUAAAGAGAACAGAAGUGCUGCCACUUAGUAUUCCUCUGUUUGCUCAGCCUCUCUUUAGGUACAAAUAAUCUAUAUUUGCCUGAGGCAUGAAGGAUUCUUGUAUUCUAAGGCAACCAUUUGUCUGACAGCUGAACAGAAGCACCAAUUACCAUUGUGCUCAACUGAAACGUGACAUGCUCAUUCAAACACUGCCUGAAGUUGUGAAAUCCUACACAUUCCAAUGUGAUGAGCGUAUAUUUUAAAGCAUCUAUGAUUUGCCAGCCCAUUCACUAACACACUAACUAAGUCAGACACAGAUAAACCCACAGGUAAUGGGUGAGGGAGUGGGCAAUUGCAGGGCAGAGGAGAGGGGUUCACUAAGGGCAUCUUGCCCAUCAAAACCUGGAGCCGAUGCUAUAAGCGUCCUGUAUCAGAUCCAUCUAGUUUAGCAUCCUGUUUGCACAGCAGCCAAGCAGAUGUUGAUGAGAAGCCCACCGUCAAAACAUGAGUUCAUCAGUAUGCAGACGAUACCCAACUCUACCUCUCUUUUAAAUCAGAACUGGUGAAGGCAGGGAAUGUCCUGUGUGAGUGUCUGGAGGCGGUUGUAGGAUGGAUGGCAGCUAACAGAUUGAGGUUGAAUCCUGACAAGAUAGAAGUACGGUUUGGGGGGGACAGGGAGCAGGCAGGUGUGGAGGACUCCCUGGUCCUGAAUGGGGUAACUGUGCACCUGAAUGACCAGGUGCGCAGCCUGGGAGUCAUUUUGGACUCACAGCUGUCCAUGGAGGCGCAGGUCAAUUCUGUGUGCAGGGCAGCUGUCUACCAGCUCCAUCUGGUACGCAGGCUGAGACCCUACCUGCCCACAGACUGUCUCACUAGAGUGGUGCAUGCUCUAGUUAUCUCCUGCUUGGACUACUGCAAUGCAUUCUGCUUGGGGCUAAGUUUGAAGGUGACCCGGAAACUACAAGUAAUCCAGAAUGCGGCAGCUAGACUGGUGACUGGGAGUGGCCGCUGAGACCACAUAACACCGGUCUUUAAAGACCUACAUUGGCUCCCAGUACGUUUCUGAGCACAAUUCAAAGUGUUGGUGCUGACCUUUAAAGCCCUAAAUGGCCUCGACCCAGUACCUGAAGGAGUGUCUCCACCCCCAUUAUUCUGCCUGGACACUGAGAUCCAGCGCUGAGGGCUUUCUGGCGGUACCCUCCCUGCGAGAAGUGAGGUUACGGGGAACCAGGCAGAAUGUCUUCUCGGUAGUGAUGUCUGCCCUGUGGAACUCCCUCCCAUCAGAUGUCAAGGAAAUAAACAACUAUCUGACUUUCAGAAGACAUUUGAAGGCAGCCCUGUUUAGGGAAGUUUUAAAUGCUUCUUAAUGUUUUAUCAUGUAUAUAAUAUUCUGUUGGUAGCUGCCCAGAGUAGCUGGAGAAACCCAGCCAGAUGGGUGGGGUAUAAAUAUGUUGUUGUUGUUGUUGCAAUUGAUAGCCUUAUCCUCCAUUAAUAUGUUCAAACCACUUUUAUAGCAAUACAAGUUGGUAGUCACACUGCUGUUAUUUUCCCCUCAAAAAUAACAAUAAAUCAGAAAUGGAGAGGGGGGAGAAGGAAAGGGGAGAUUUUAUAUUCAUAAAUACUUGAAAGCACAAUAGUAAACCAGCUGUGAUCUUAAUGGCUGUGGUCAUAUGCUAUGCUUUCAGGGUAAAGAAGAAACCGGAUUACUGCUGCUUUUGAAAUUCAGCUAAGCACCCUUUAGCAACACAACCAGUUAACACAAGCAAUACACAUAACAAGACUAGUGGAAAGCUACCACCCUGAGAGCCAACACAUUUCCCAUUUGUCUUUUUGCUGCUAUAGACCAAGGAGGCUACUUAUCUGGAUCUGUGAAGUGAUUCUGCAGAAUGGAAUUAGGGACAGAAUCUCAAAGGAUCUUCUCCCUUAUCUACUUAGGUAUUAUUAGCAUUCACUCUCAUUCAAUCUCCCUCCCUAAAAUUAUGUAGAUUUAUAUACAAAUAUAUUCAGUACAUUAAAAAAAAACCAACCACAUGCUAUAGAACAAUUCACACACAUAAAAAUGGAGAAAACCCAUUUCAGACUUCAAUUAAAUUUUUAAAAAUUGAGCCUACAUUUCAGUAUCCACUGUAAUUAUAAUCAGCUCUUUAUUCUGAAGAGAUAAAAAAGGAAACUGGAAGGCAGGAAGAGGGGGAAAUGUUAGAAGCCUUUUCACUGGGCUUUUAGGCAUUUAGUCAAUUUACAUUUUUAAUCAGGAGAAAAUUUAUGUAAUACUACAUAACCACUAAGGAUCCUUCGGGACAAAGAGCACAAAAGUGAUCAUUUCAAAAAAAUAAUAAUAAUCUGUUUAAAAAUAUUGCUUCAAAGUUUUCUUUUUUUCAGAGCGGGAGCAGUUGUUUAAAGUGAUCAUUUCAUGCUACUUGUUUGGGAUUAAGUACAAAGUCAAUUUAACAAAUCAUAUAUGGAAAUUUGGGGCAGCAAGGAAAUAUUUUCUUGUCAGCAGAACCAGGUGAGAAUAUAUAAUGGAUAAAAAUUAGCACUACUCCUAGCUCCUUGCCUCAAGGAGGGGUCUUAGAAGGCCAGGGGAAAAAAUGGCUUAGGGGCAGAUAGGCCCUCAGAUCUGAUGUUAGCUACCCCAUGCUACUUGAUUCUUCUAUUAAAUGGAUAUGCCUGGGAAUACAGCCUGUAGCUUUCUGAAUGCAAUGUAUGCACUCUGCCCCUGACCUAUGAUCCCACUCCAAAGCCCUUCUUUCCAGUAUCCCUUGCUCCUAAGAAAUGUUAUGGGUGGGGCAACAUACAAGGCUUUCUAAGUGUUCAAACCUGAGUGCCUUUGGCUCUGUAUACACCAUGCAUUAACGGUGCCUGGCUCUCCCCUGGGAAGAAGAAGAAGAGUUUGGAUUUGACAUCCCGUUUUAUCACUACCCGAAGCAGUCUCAAAGUGGCUAACAACCUCCUUUCCCUUCUUCCCUCACAACAAACACUCUGUGAGGUGAGUGAGACUGAGAAACUUCAGAGAAGUGUGACUAGCCCAAGGUCACCCAGCAGAUGCAUGAGGAGGAGCAGGGAAGCAAACCCGGUUCACCAGAUUUCGAGUCCACCACUCUUAACUACUAUACCACACUGCUUACUGGCAACUGUCACCGUAGAGCUACAAUUCCCAGCACACUUAAUAAACUACAGUUCCCAGGAUGAUUUGGGGGGUGUAAUCCAAGUUUAUGCACCAACUACUGGUGCUGAAGAAACUGAAAUUGACCAAUUCUAUGAAGACUUAAAACACCUUAUAGAAAUGACACCAAUGAAGGAUGUUCUUCUCAUUAUAGGGGAUUGGAAUGCUAAAGUAGGGAAUCAAGAGAUAAAAGGAACAACUGGCAAGUUUGGCCUUGGAGUUCAAAACGAAGCAGGGCAAAGGCUAAUAAGAGUUCUGCCAAGAGAACAAGCUGGUAAUCACAAACACUCUUUUUCAACAACACAAGAGACGACUCUACACAUGGACAUCACCAGAUGGGCAGCAUCGAAAUCAGAUUAAUUAUAUUUUCUGCAGCCAAAGAUGGAGAAGCUCUAUACAGUCAGCAAAAACAAGACCUGGAGCUGACUGUGGCUCAGAACAUCAGCUUCUUAUAGCAAAAUUCAAGCUUAAACAGAAGAAAGUAGGAAAAACCACUGGGCCGGUAAGAUACAAUCUAAAUCAAAUCCCUUAUGAAUACACAGUGGAAGUGAGGAACAGGUUUAAGGAUUUAGAUUUGGUGGACAGAGUGCCUGAAGAACUAUAGAUGGAGGCUCGUAACAUUAUACAGGAGGCAGCAACGAAAACCAUUCCAAAGAAAAGGAAAUGCAAGAAAGCAAAGUGGCUGUCCAAUGAGGCCUUACAAAUAGCGGGGGGAGAAAGCAAGCAAAAUGUGAGGGAGAUCAUGAAAGAUACAAGAAACUGAAUGCAGAUUUCAAAAAAAUAGCAAGGAGAUACAAGAAGGCCUUCUUAAACGAGCAAUGCAAAGAAAUAGAGGAAAACAACAGAAUGGGAAAAACCAGAGAUCUGUUCAAGAAAAUUGGAGAUAUGAAAGGAACAUUUCGUACAAAGAUUACCAUAAUAAAAGACAAAAGUGGAAAGGACCUAACAGAAGCAGAAGACAUCAAGAAGAGCUGGCAAGAAUACACAGAGGAAUUAUACCAGAAAGAUAUGGAUGGCUCGUACACCCCAGGUAGUGUGGUUGCUGACCUUGAGCCAGACAUCCUGGAGCGUGAAGUCAAAUGGGCCUUAGAAAGCAUUGCUAAUAACAAGGCCAGUGGAAGUGAUGAUAUUCCAGCUGAACUAUUUAAAAUUUUAAAAGAUGAUGCUGUUAAGGUGCUACACUCAACAUGCCAGCAAGUUUGGAAAACUCAGCAGUGGCCAGAGGAUUGGAGAAGAUCAGUCUACAUCCCAAUCCCAAAGAAGGGCAGUGCCAAAGAAUGCUCCAACUACCACACAAUUGCACUCAUUUCACAUGCUAGUAAGGUUAUGCUUAAAAUUCUACAAGGCAGUCUUAAGCAGUAUGUGGACCGAGAACUCCCAGAAGUGCAAGCUGGAUUUCAAAGGGGCAGAGGAACCAGAGACCAAAUUGCAAACAUGUGCUGGAUUAUGGAGAAAGCUAGAGAGUUCCAGAAAGACAUCUACUUCUGCUUCAUUGACUAUGCAAAAGCCUUUGACUGUGUCGACCACAGCAAACUACGGCAAGUUUUUAAAGAAAUGGGAGUGCCUGAUCACCUCAUCUGUCUCCUGAGAAAUCUCUAUGUGGGACAAGAAGCUACAGUUAGAACUGGAUAUGGAACAACUGAUUGGUACAAAAUUGGGAAAGGAGUACGACAAGGCUGUAUAUUGUCUCUCUGCUUAUUUAACUUAUAUGCAGAAUUCAUCAUGCGAAAGGUUCGGCUGGAUGAAUCCCAAACCGGAAUUAAGAUUGCCAGAAGAAAUAUCAACAACCUCAGAUAUGCAGAUGACACAACCUUGAUUGCAGAAAGUGAGGAGGAAUUAAAGAACCUUUUAAUGAGGGUAAAAGAGGAGAGCACAAAAUAUGGUCUGAAGCUCAGCAUCAAAAAAACGAAGAUCAUGGCCACUGGGCCCAUCACCUCCUGGCAAAUAGAAGGGGAAGAAAUGGAGGCAGUGAGAGAUUUUACUUUCUUGGGCUCCAUGUUCACUGCAGAUGGUGACAGCAGUCACGAAAUUAAAAGACGCCUGCAUCUUGGGAGAAAAGCAAUGACAAACCUAGACAGCAUCUUAAAAAGCAGAAACAUCACUUUGCCAACAAAGGUCCGUAUAGUUAAAGCUAUGGUUUUCCCAGCAGUGAUGAAUGGAAGUGAGAGCUGGACCAUAAAGAAGGCUGAACGACGAAGAAUUGAUGCUUUUGAAUUAUGGUGCUGGAGGAGACUCUUGAGAGUCCCAUGGACUGCAAAAAGAUCAAACCUAUCCAUUCUGAAGGAAAUCAGCCCUGAGUGCUCACUGGAAGGACAGAUCCUGAAGCUGAGGCUCCAAUACUUUGGCCACCUCAUGAGAAGAGAAGACUCCCUGGAAAAGAUCCUGAUGUUGGGAAAGAUGGAAGGCACAAGGAGAAGGGGACGACAGAGGACGAGAUGGUUGGACAGUGUUCUCGAAGCAACCAACAUGAGUUUGACUAAACUGGGCAAGGCAGUGGAAGACAGGAGUGCCUGGCGUGCUCUGGUCCAUGGGGUCACGAAGGGUCGGACACGACUAAAUGACUAAACAACAACAACAGUCAUGUGCUUUAACUGUAUAGAGUUCACAGAGUCUCGUGACAUUUACAGACAAGUUACCAAUCUCUUCCCUUCUUUCCCAUCUGUUGGCACCUACUAAAUAGUUGAAGGUGUGAAGCUGUCUUAUGCUAUAGGAUCACUGGUCUGCAAGGCUUAAUAAAUGCUCUGACUGGAUGGAAGCAACUCUUCAGGGCCCCAAGCAAGGCCUAUUUUGAACCCUACUAUCUGAGAACACUUUAUAUGAAGAUGCCAGAACUUGAACUUCCUCAGGCAUGCAAAGAAUAAAAUAAAAAUAAAUAUGCACUACAAUAGUCCCAUGGCCUCUGCCCAGCAACUGACAUGACGGGCUGAGCUAAUUCAAAAGGCCCUCCCCUCUGACUGACCUACCCACAUAUUUAGAAAGGCCCUGGGCAAGACGGAAUUAUUGCCAUGGGGAAUAACGCCGGUAAACCACAAUUUCCCCAGAGCAGUAAUCUAAAGAGACAGGGCCAGUUGGACCAAAGUGAUUUCUUAAAAUACAUGCACCAGUUUAAUAUACUUAGGCAUACAUUGUAUAGUAUAGCCACACAAUCUGGCUGUGGGAAGAAAUGGCAGAUUUGUUGUUGUUGUUUUACAUAUGAGCUAAUCAUGAAUGAAGGCAUUCAUGCGCACACAUAUCUAGAUGAAUGAAACACAAAGAGGUUAUGAAAACAGGAAUUGGAGCUGGAAUAGGAGAAAAUGUGGUAGAUGUCGCAAAUGCCCCAAAAACCUUUCCUAGUGAUACUGGCAUGGGGAGUGAUCUGUCACUUUCAGUUCUCUCGAUUUCAGAUUUUUCCAAUCUUAAAUUCAGUUCUCCACAUUUCUGAAGCACUGUUUGUUUGUUUUUAAAAAUAUCCUUUAGAAAAAUUCUUCAAAAUUAAGAAAAUUAUUCAGCAUUUCUGUGUAAAUUUCUCCUAGUAUACAGUUUUGACCAAUGUACCCAUUUUUACAAGCAAUUUCAAAGGAAAUAAUGGAUUUUGUACGUUGUUUUCACUAAUAUAUUCAUUUAUAGGCACAUAUACCCUAAUAUAUGCAUAUUUGUAAAUAUUAUUUGCUUCCUCACAUUUCUUUGGGAGGCACAAAUUUGAUAAAUUCAGCUUUGAAUACAAAUGGAAUCAAAUUUAUCCACUAUCUCUAGUCACUACCUUUAAAAAAACUUUUUCAAGGUCAGCAAAGAACAAUGAUAUCUCCUGCUCAAAGAAGGAUCCAGUCAUGGGCCACAUGUUCAUUCCAAGUCCCACUCUUUGGCCAGAGACUUGCUAGUUAAUUAUGCUACAUGUUCAGUUGUCUGUAAUUUUUUGCUACUCAAAUUUAUACAAAGUAUUUCCCUCGGUUUUUCUUGUAGAUACAUUGGGAAAUAUAAAUAUGUUUCAAAAGAGAAAGGAAAGACAACCAGGUAAAGUGGGUACCUCAGCCAACCUCACAGGGUGGAUUUGACAAUAAUAAUGGGAAGGGGGACCAUUUCUGGUACCCUUAUCUCCUUGAAAUAAGGGUGGAACAACAACAAAGGCAUUUGUUGUUGUUGCUACUGCUGCUACUACUGUUCUCGCUUCAUCGUUUUGAAGAGCAGGAUCUUGAACUGUCACUACACUGAAAUUGCAGUAUCAUAACACUGAUGCGAAAUAUCUGUGCAGUUAGGACUGUGUUGAUUAGAUAGCGAGCUUCUCACCCUUGGUGACUCUGCAGUGUCUGAAAGCAAAAUCAACCCCACACUCUUGUCAGAAUUCAUUUGACUUUUGCUGUGAUUUAUUCUCAGCUAACAUGUAUGUGCGGCCAAAGACUAUUUUUUUGUUUUGGUUUCAGAAGCAGUAGCUACCCUGUCUUUCUCAGUCAUGUCACAGCACAGACAACUUGGAGCUAACGUGAAACGUUGCUUAGCAACCACGCUAAGCCUGCUGGG
Molecule: long non-coding RNA, 8314 nt
Filed under: Podarcis lilfordi (Lilford's wall lizard)
Lineage: Eukaryota; Metazoa; Chordata; Lepidosauria; Squamata; Lacertidae
Source: RNAcentral